This 232-nucleotide ribosomal RNA is filed under the name uncultured Enterobacterales bacterium. RNAcentral describes it as "partial 16S ribosomal RNA". It matches the Rfam family "Bacterial small subunit ribosomal RNA", at positions 99 to 334 of the family's 1533-position model. Lineage: Bacteria; Pseudomonadati; Pseudomonadota; Gammaproteobacteria; Enterobacterales. The record is from RNAcentral.
CGAACGGGUGAGUAAUGUCUGGGAAACUGCCUGAUGGAGGGGGAUAACUACUGGAAACGGUAGCUAAUACCGCAUAACGUCGCAAGACCAAAGAGGGGGACCUUCGGGCCUCUUGCCAUCAGAUGUGCCCAGAUGGGAUUAGCUAGUAGGUGGGGUAACGGCUCACCUAGGCGACGAUCCCUAGCUGGUCUGAGAGGAUGACCAGCCACACUGGAACUGAGACACGGUCCAG